Molecule: long non-coding RNA, 1997 nt
Filed under: Homo sapiens (human)
Lineage: Eukaryota; Metazoa; Chordata; Mammalia; Primates; Hominidae
Description: HSALNT0283819
Source: RNAcentral
UUAGAAUUAUUUCACAGACUCGUUAAAGCUUCCAUUCACUCAACAGAUAUUUACUGACCACAUGCCACAUGCCAGGCACAGUGCUGUACAUCAGAAUACAAACAUAGUGAUUUUUCCCUUUUUGUGUGGAGCUUACAUUCUGGGGUAUGUUCAAACAAUGGUAAUAAUAAUGAGAGAUAACACUUAUGGAGCACUGACUAUGUGCAGGCACUCUUUCUGGUGCUUUCAUUUUCCUCAUACUUAUUCAUAUAAUGCUAGCUCUUAGAUAGCUACUCUUAAUGAUCCUCAUUUUACAGAUGAGGAAACUGGGUCAUGGAGGUAAAUGUACCUGUCCAAAGUCAAGCAGCAAUAAAUGAAAGAGACCACUCAGGUCUGUCAGUCUCAAGCAUAUUACUUUCUCUCACACCAUCUGAUCUUUAACCUUAUUUAUUAAACAUGACUCAUAAAAUAGAUGAAAAUAGGUGCUCUGAUGGAGGGUGAAUUAACAUGUGAUACAAACACAGAGGUAAGUAUUGAAUUACAGCUUAGUCUGGGGUAUGUUAAAUUGCGGGCAGUUUCCAAUAAAGCCUCAAGAAGGAGUUGAGCUCUAAGUGAUGAAUAAAUGGGAAGGGUUUAUAGUAGUAUUCUAACCUGAAGUAACAGCAACAGGAAAGGCCUAGAGGAGUGUAGGUACAAGUUUGUGUAACAGCCACUCACCACGGUGACUAGAGCCAGAGUGCACUAGAAUGGGUGGUAGAUGAGGAUGAAGGUUGCUAGACAGUAAGGAUUGGAUUUUCUGUUCUUCACUUAGUAUGUCAAAGCUUGUUGUGGCCCCACAGGGCAGGAAUGGCAGCGUCAGAAUAGAAGCUAUUUAUUCAGAGGGUUUAUGUAUGUGUAUGCGUGCCAGCACACGUGUGUUUGGGGAGGCAUAAUCCAAACACUUUUGCCAGGAAGAGGUGAGUCAGCUGCUUUAUUUUCUGAGAGCUCUACUAAAAUAGUUGGGCUAAAACAUAGGUGUAAUCCUAGACUUCAAUCAUCAAGUUGAAGACUAUGAUGGUUGCAUUUUUCAGUGCGGCAUUGGAAAGGGAAAAGAUUUAUAUAGGGUUGCCAUCUGCAGUUACAAUUGAAAUUCUUCCUUAAAUUCUUGAUGGUAAUGAAUACUGUUACAUUCCACAGAACAUUACAUUCAGUAAUCUUAUGCCCUGGAAUUCCUUCAGAGGCUACUGUCUUCACAUGUGGGGGUUACUCACCUCUGAAAUUGUCUACAUCCCAGGUGCUUUCUUCAGUACUGAAGUAGGUAACUCAGGGCCACGAAUUUAGUCAAACUAGGCUAAAGAGAUCAAUGUUUACACAAAUGAAUGUGCAUGUUCUAGACGGUAGAAAUGUGUGGUUUGUAUGCUGAUCCUUUUUUCGGGGAGAGUGUUGUAGAAACCAGCACUGUCUUCCAAGCUGCUACAAAGGUAUGAUUAAGGCCAGACCUGAUGGGGCCCUUCACCCUGGUCUUUAACCUUCCCCAGAAGGGCUCCUGUUCCUUGUCUUAGAUAGGUGCUUCCCAGGGGGCAAAUUGAGAUAAGAUCUUUAAGCUCUCUAGUUAUAAACAAAAACAAACAAUUUGGUACAUUUUCCCCCUGAAAUUCAGCUCACAGUUUGUCGCGAGUUGAACCUCCUACUACUCCCUCCAUCUAAUAAAGAAAAGCAACAUUGAAUGGCAGCAUCUUAUCUCUGAAAUGACAUCCUGAUCCCAUUCCACAGCAUUGAAACCCUUAACAAGUUGGUCGCUACUUGGCUCUCUAUCUUCAUCUUUAUUCCCCAGUACAUCCUUCCAUGAUAUCUUCUUCCUGGCCAUAUUGAGCUACACUUCUUGUCUCAGCUAUUUCUAUUCUACAAGUUUCUAAAAAGUUCUAGUUAUUGUUAAAUGAAUAACAAAAAGCUGUCUCUGUGACUGUGACAUAUGGCAUGUUUUCCGCUCUUUAAGUAUAAUGUAAAAAAGAUGAGAUCAUGCUCUCCAUUCUGAACUU